Molecule: ribosomal RNA, 314 nt
Filed under: Protothaca mcgintyi
Lineage: Eukaryota; Metazoa; Mollusca; Bivalvia; Venerida; Veneridae
Description: partial 16S ribosomal RNA
Rfam family: Bacterial large subunit ribosomal RNA
Source: RNAcentral
GCGAUAAUUUGUCCUUUAAUUGAGGAAUGGUACGAAUGGUUUGACGUGUGAUUGCUUUUUUUGCAUGAGUUUUGCGAAAUUUCCUUUUAAGGUGAAAAGGCUUAAAUUUCUGAAAAAGACGAGAAGACCCUGUCGAACUUGAUUUGAACUGUUGUUUUGGUAUAUCAGCUUAACAUGUUCAGAAGUUUUAUUGGGGCAAUAGGUGCUAAAAUAACAGCCUGGGUAAACGAAGAUCCUUUUUGAAAGAAAUUGGGCAAAAGUUACCGCAGGGAUAACAGCGUAAUUUUUCCUGAGAGAUCGAAUUGGGGGAAAAG